UUCACCUUGGUCUAUAAUAAGGUGGGUUAAAAUAAACACUACAUGUAAUAUGUAAAUAUGUACAGAAUCUUAAUUUAAGAUACAAUAUACGACGUAAGUACUUACAGUGGUGACGCUUUCAAGGAUUAGUGUAUAAGACAUGGAAUUGUGGAGGUCAUUUAUUAAGAAAAUGUGUAUCAAAGAUUUAGCUGCUUCGUCCGUAUUUUGUUAAAUUAUUGGGAUAUUCUUUAGCUAUCAACACGGAUUUAAAGGAGAAACAUUGAACACGAACACAUAAAAGGAUGGACUACAAAUAACUAAGGCCAGAAACAUUGAACACGAACACAUAAAAGGAUGGUACUACAAAUAACUAAGACAGAAAAAAACACCAUUAAAUUCUUUAAUAUUACAUAUUUUAUAUCGUUGGUGAGGUAGAUUCGAAUUUACCAUGGAAGUAGCUUUAACAUUAUUUGGAUUACUGCUAAUGGUUUUAACUGCUCAAGCCGCCACACAAGAUAGAUUCAUGUGCAUAACGUGUCAAUAUCAGAGUAACAUGAUAGACACAGAAUGUGUUGAUGCACCUGAAAACAUGACAGAACCACAGAACAGAAUUAGAUGUCCCUCUAAAUGUAUGACGCAGGGUAGAUUUAGCAAAGAUACGCAUAAACCAUCUUAUAUGCUCCGAGGUUGUAUGACUCUAGGUGAUACAAGAGAAGAUGACUGUGAGGAAUCGGAGUUGGAAUACCAUUGUUAUACUUUUUGUUCAGGUCAUUUCUGUAAUUUUGAUUCUGGAUUUGCUUUAGACACGGCCACCAAUAGUCAGCCAUUUUUCGUGCUAGUUUAUAUGUCUUCUGUGCUAGCCUUAUUUAUGAAAUAAAUCUGCCUGUAUUGUGUGUCGUUCUUGGGCCUGGAAUGUUAUCUACAAUAUUAAUUAGGCAUUAAUUAACUUAUCCAAACCAUAAUCAACCCUCGAUACCAUCGUUAGCCUGCGAUAUUUAGUGGAUUUAAAUAUAUUUUGUGAUUGAUAAUAUAAUGUAAACAUAGAUAAUUGAAACUUGGUUUAUUAUCGAACCGAAGUUAGUAAUGACGUUCGAGGCUAGCUUAAAAUUGAAUCGCUAAUAUCUCGUUGAAGCAAUCUGACUGAAAAUUUCAGCAUAUUCUGUUUUCACUAUCUAUAUUUUAACUAUUUUAGCGAGAUUUAUCAGCUCUUUAUCUAAUCGUACCUAAUGCCUCUUUAAAGAAGGCAGCAUAUCCACUAAUUUUUAGUAAGGAGUUAUAUCGUCAUAAUAAAAUCACAUAAUCACAUAUAUCUUCAUAAUA
This is a long non-coding RNA of Patella vulgata (common limpet), 1299 nucleotides long. RefSeq lists it as uncharacterized. The record is from RefSeq and is a predicted model, not a curated record. NCBI's taxonomy places the organism in Eukaryota, Metazoa, Mollusca, Gastropoda, Patellidae. The transcript is spliced from 3 exons.